UCCCUGAUGACUGUGGUAAAGAAUCUGCCUGCAGUGCAGGAGACCCAGGUUCAAUCCCUGGAUUGGGAA
RNAcentral lists this transfer RNA (69 nucleotides) under Capra hircus (goat). It matches the Rfam family "tRNA". Rfam says of the family: Transfer RNA (tRNA) molecules are approximately 80 nucleotides in length. Their secondary structure includes four short double-helical elements and three loops (D, anti-codon, and T loops). The record is from Rfam by way of RNAcentral. Lineage: Eukaryota; Metazoa; Chordata; Mammalia; Artiodactyla; Bovidae. RNAcentral also lists the same sequence under 1 other name.